This is a long non-coding RNA of Saccostrea cuccullata (small rock oyster), 1579 nucleotides long. RefSeq lists it as uncharacterized. The transcript has 4 exons. The record is from RefSeq and is a predicted model, not a curated record. NCBI's taxonomy places the organism in Eukaryota, Metazoa, Mollusca, Bivalvia, Ostreida, Ostreidae.
GGCUAAUUUGUGUCUUAAGAGAAAGCCAGUUACAUAAAUCACAACAAUAAAUUACAUCUGAAUUGUUGUCUCCAGUUUCUUAUCAUCAAAGCCAGUUUAAUGGAGUGUGGGAGCUGUGAAGAACCUCCCUAGAUGCUGAUAUCAUUUUGACUGCCCUGAGUUACAACACAGCAUUUAGAUAAACUUCUGCACAGCAGCUUGUAGACAAAUACCUAGGCUUUAUUUGGAACAUAAAUUGACCAGAUACAGUUUUCAUUAUCAACCCAGUAUUUAACAAUUUCUGUAUUUUUGUUCAUUCUUUGAAGGGGAAAAUGCAACUUUGUUAUGUAAUAAUUACAUAAUGGUCUUAGACUUGUAAACUCUUUUCUGUUUGUGGUGAAGAACAAAGCAUAUACUCUCCACAGAUAAAAAAUUGGUUGCCAAGCUUAUUCUUUUAAUGAUGAAAUUCUGCUUCAAAAGAUGCACAAAAAACUGCUUCUAAAGUGCUCUGUGUGUUAUUCUUGACUGCUCUGGAGUAAGGGAGAUAAAUGCUUCAUAUCUUCAGAAAUAAGGGGAUUUAGAUCACCAGACUUAAGGAUGUUGGGGACAAUUAUUUAAUGAAUCUCAGGUGCAAAAAUGGAAAAAAUCGAACACCUUCAAAGGUCCUUCAAGGUAUCACACCGGUAAUUGACCAAUCAAAAUGAACUUAGUCAAAUGUAGGUCCAUAUAUAUAAAAUUGAUUUUCUUUUCUUUUGAGACGUUUUUCUAUUUUCUUUCAUGCCAUUUUUACAACUUUGGUACCUGUGCCUAGUAAAUUUUAUGUACUUUGAGAAUAAAUAAAGGUUUUUGACAGGAACUAUUUUUUUCAUGGCAUAGGAGGCUACUUCCUGUAGUGCACUCGAGGUGUUUAUAAACACAGUGAAAACACGUGGAUUUGAGGGUAGCCGUGUUUGCAGAUGGAAAAAGUCCGAAAAUGCCGUGUGGGUACCCUGUUUUUUGGUGUCAGCUAAUGUGACAGGAGGCUACUUCCUGUAGUGCACUCGAGGUGUUUAUAAACACAGUGAAAACACGUGGAUUUGAGGGUAGCCGUGUUUGCAGAUGGAAAAAGUCCGAAAAUGCCGUGUGGGUACCCUGUUUUUUGGUGUCAGCUAAUGUGACAGGAGGCUACUUCCUGUAGUGCACUCGAGGUGUUUAUAAACACAGUGAAAACACGUGGAUUUGAGGGUAGCCGUGUUUGCAGAUGGAAAAAGUCCGAAAAUGCCGUGUGGGUACCCUGUUUUUUGGUGUCAGCUAAUGUGACAGGAGGCUACUUCCCGUAGUGCACUCGAGGUGUUUAUAAACACAGUGAAAACACGUGGAUUUGAGGGUAGCCGUGUUUGCAGAUGGAAAAAGUCCGAAAAUGCCGUGUGGGUACCCUGUUUUUUGGUGUCAGCUAAUGUGACAGGUAAUGUUUAACACCUCCUGCUAAAUAUUUUUUCAUGUAAACAAAUACCCGAUUUUUAACGAUUUUUUAUUCUAUAUAGAAUUAUAUAGUGAAAACAAUUACCGGUGUGAUACCUUGAAGGUGAUUAUGAAAAAUCAUUUUAAUCCUUAUUAAAGA